Molecule: long non-coding RNA, 1424 nt
Filed under: Sus scrofa (pig)
Lineage: Eukaryota; Metazoa; Chordata; Mammalia; Artiodactyla; Suidae
Description: lncRNA (ENSSSCG00005044386.1)
Source: RNAcentral
UUUUUACACUAUAGCAUUUAUGCAAUGGUUUACAGAAUUCAUGGAGUUAUUUUUAUCAGUAUGGAUAAAAUGGAAAUUAAAAAUCUUUAUCAUCUUGUCUGUGUCUGGAAGAGAAAGCGCGCCCUCUGGUGGGGACUCCCCACAUUGCGCCUCGCAGCCUGAUCACAGGUUGUUGGCUCGCAGCCCCGGGUCGCCGCGCAGGUGCUCUGCCGUGGGGUCUGUGGGUGUCUUGGGGCCCAGGUGCUCAGAGAUGUAAGUUUCUGCCAAAACACCAAGUGGCAAGAGGAAGGCAAUGCCUCGCAGGUGGCAGGUCCCAAGGCGGGCUGGGCACCACCCCAGGCACCACUGACCUGCAGGCUGCGUGUAGGGGAUGCCGUGCUGGGUCAGCACGCUCCGCAGCCUCUCCAGCUCCGCUGACAGGGCUUUAUGUGCCUAGAGCGUGAGUUCCAGGGAGAAGUCAGGCCCUUGGCAGGAGGCCGUCCAGCCCCAGGGAGGCCCCGCCGGUACCUCAUGGCAGCUCUCCAGCGUCUCAAACACCAGGCCCUUGGCACCCCUGUCCUGCUGCGCCUGCUCGCUUUGUUCUGGGGCCUUUAAAUAGCCAGCAUCCUCAAAGAUCGACCUGAGCAACUUCUCAUAGCCCUAAAGGUGGAGGAUGAAGAGGGAGCACCCAGCCCGGGAUAGGGGGACCACUCAGCGGGGGGGCACCCACCCUAGCCCUUCACCUGGGAUGUGAUCAGCCCGUCCGCCAGAUCCUGCUCCACCUGCUCCCACCUGUGCUGCAGGGCCGCAGGCAGGGUGGGGUACACUGAGGAGCCAAGAGAAACCAGACUGAGUUGAGCCCCUCUGCACCCCAAUGCCCCUGGCCAGCCCUGGUGCCCACCUAGCAAGGAGUGGGGGUGGCACACAAGGGGCGUCUCAAAGGUCAGCGCGUAGACACAGGUGUGUGGCUCGGACACGUGGGCCAACCGGUUGCUCUUGCCGCAGGUAAGCUCCACCUGGGGGUGGGGGCGACACCCAGCCCCCACUCACCCGAGGAUCCCGCUGUAGGCGUUCCAGCGGAAGGUCUGCUCAUGCUGGGUCACGUUGUGGAAUGGGCAGAACUCAUACUUGUACCUGGGGGCACAGCCGCUGUCAGGGGGGUCCCAACCCCAUGCCACACCCACCCCUCCCCUCACUCACGUGGCCUCCACCAGGCUGAAGCACUUGCCGGAGAGUCUGGAGAGAUGCCCGGGCCCUGGAAGGGAGAGCAGGAUUUGCUGUGCAGAGUGCAGAGAGCAGGCCCGAGGCACCCACAGAACCAGGGCUAUCCAGGAAAAGCUCCGGUGCUUGCACGUUAAUGCUGGAGCCAGAGAGCAUGGGUGACACCAGCCAAGUACAGGCUGGGAAGCUCCAAGGUCCCAUCCCUCAGAAGCAUCGAGAGAACC